This 278-nucleotide long non-coding RNA is filed under the name Sorghum bicolor (sorghum). Its description in RNAcentral is "long non-coding RNA (SBIC_LNC006339)". Lineage: Eukaryota; Viridiplantae; Streptophyta; Magnoliopsida; Poales; Poaceae. The record is from RNAcentral.
CUUGGGAUAGGGCAUCCUCCACUUGCUUGAGUUCUGCCAACAGGGCUUCUCUUUUUGCUGAUAGAUCAGAGAUCUUCUGCUUCAGUACGUCUCCUGAGGACUUCAAGGUGCCGAUGUUCUUGUGCUUCUCAUCGGUCAGGAUCUUUUCUUUCAUCAUCUCCUCAGAAAGUCGGGUCUAAGCGGCUCUGUCGGCAAGGCGCUGGGCAGCCCUUUGGUACUGCAGUUGACGGCUCUCUAGGUGAGCUGCUUGAAAGAGAUCUUCUUCGGCAUCGGCAGGG